RNAcentral lists this ribosomal RNA (887 nucleotides) under uncultured archaeon. RNAcentral's name for it is "bacterial SSU rRNA". It matches the Rfam family "Archaeal small subunit ribosomal RNA", at positions 1 to 895 of the family's 1478-position model. The record is from RNAcentral.
UUUUCCGGUUGAUCCUGCCGGAGAUCACUGCUAUUGGAUUCCGAUUAAGGCAUGCGAGUCGAGAGGGUUCGGCCCUCGGCUGACGGCUCAGUAACACGUGGACAAUCUGCCCUUGGGUGGGGGAUAAUCUCGAGAAAUUGAGCAUAAUACCCCAUAGUUUUAGGUUGCUGGAAUGCUCUUAAGGCAAAAGCCCCGGCGCCCAAGGAUGAGUCUGCGGCCUAUCAGGUUGUAGUGAGUGUAACGGACUCACUAGCCGACGACGGGUACGGGUCCUGGAAGGGAAUGCCCGGAGAUGGACUCUGAGACACGAGUCCAGGCCCUACGGGGCGCAGCAGCUACGAAAACUUCGCAAUGCGGGAAACCGCGACGAGGGGAAUCCAAGUGCUAAUACUUUGUAUUAGCUGUUUACUUGCCUAAAAAGCAGGUAGAGUAAGGGCUGGGUAAGACUGGUGCCAGCCGCCGCGGUAAUACCAGCAGCUCGAGUGGUGGUCGUUGUUAUUGGGCCUAAAGCGUCCGUAGCCGGUUUGGUAAACCCUUGGGUAAAUCGGGCAGCUUAGCUGUCCGACUUCUGAGGAGACUGCUAGACUUGGGACCGGGAGAGGUCAGAGGUACUUCUGGGGUAGGGGUGAAAUCCUGUAAUCCUAGAAGGACCACCAGUGGCGAAGGCGUCUGACUAGAACGGGUCCGACGGUAAGGGACGAAGCCCUGGGUCACGAACCGGAUUAGAUACCCGGGUAGUCCAGGGUGUAAACGCUGCGGGCUUGGUGUUGGGGGUCCUACGAGGGCGUCCAGUGCCGGAGAGAAGUUGUUAAGCCCGCCGCCUGGGGAGUACGGUCGCAAGAUUGAAACUAAAGGAAUGGCGGGGCAGCACAGGAAACGGAGAGGUC